CAGAAUUGCCAGUUCUUCCUGUAGGACCUUUAUUCCAGGUAAAUCCUGGUGGUAAUUCAUCUGCUGAAGCUUCUCUGAUCAGACAAGCCUGAUCAGAAUUGCCAGUUCUUACUGUCGGACCAUUAUUCCAGGUAAAGCCUGGUGGUAAUUCAUCCGCUGAAGCUUCUCUGCUCAGAGAAGCCUGAUCAGAAUUGUUAGUUCCUACUCUUGGACCUUUAUUCCAGGUAAAGCCUGGUGGUAAGUCAUCUGCUGAAGCUUCUCUGGCCAGAGAAGCCUGGUUGGAAUUGCCAGUUCUUAAUGUCGGAUCUUUAUUCCAGGUAAAGCCUGGUGGUAAUUCAUCCGCUGAAGUUUCUCCGCUCAGAUCUUUGUUCUGGAUAAGUAUUUCCUUUCCCCAGCCUGGUGGUAAUUCAUCCGCUGAAGCAUCUUUGCUCAGAGAAGCCUGAUCACACUGAAGCUUCUCUGGUCGGAGAAGCCUGAUCGGAAUUGCCAGUUCCUAAUGUCGGACCUUUAUUCCAGGUAAAGCCUGGUGGUAAUUCAUCCGCUGAAGCUUCUCCGCUCAGAUCUUUGUUCUGGAUAAGUAUUUCCUUUCCCCAGCCUGGUGGUAAUUCAUCCGCUGGAGCUUCUUUGCUCAGAGAAGCCUGAACAGAAUAGCCAGUUCCUACAAUAGGAUCUUUGUUCGGGGCAAGUAUUUCCUUUUCCCAGGCUGGUCGUAAUUCCUCCGCUGAAGCUUCUCUGCUCAGAGAAGCCUGAUCAGAAUUGCCAGUUCCUGCAGUAGAAUCUUUGUUCGGGGAAAGUAUUCCGUUGUCCCAGCCUGGUGGUAAUUGAUCUGCUGAAGCUUCUCUGCUCAAAGCCUGCUCAGAAUUGCCUGUUCCUACUGUAGGAUCUUUGGUCGGG
RNAcentral lists this long non-coding RNA (894 nucleotides) under Nicotiana benthamiana. RNAcentral's name for it is "long non-coding RNA (NBEN_LNC029679)". Lineage: Eukaryota; Viridiplantae; Streptophyta; Magnoliopsida; Solanales; Solanaceae. The record is from RNAcentral.